This 287-nucleotide long non-coding RNA is filed under the name Brachypodium distachyon (stiff brome). Its description in RNAcentral is "long non-coding RNA (BDIS_LNC001984)". The record is from RNAcentral. Lineage: Eukaryota; Viridiplantae; Streptophyta; Magnoliopsida; Poales; Poaceae.
GACUCUAAAUGAAAUAUAUUAUUUUACAGAAUUUGUGGAAAUUUUUCUGAAGCCAUUUGAUAUUUUAAAUGAUUUAAAUGGAAUUUCGGGUGAAUUAUAGAUCGUGAAAAGUAUUUUAUAAUCUUUUUCUUUUAUUCUUUUUCUCUGAAAAUACGCCUUCUCCGUAGGAAAACGUAUUCUCGGGGGAAUACGCUUUCAGUCUGCGGAAAACGUAUUCUCGGGAGAAUACGCUUUCAGUGUCUCUCUCUCUCUCUGACAGGUGGGGCCCACCUGUCAUCCCUCACCUC